RNAcentral lists this long non-coding RNA (269 nucleotides) under Brassica napus (rape). Its description in RNAcentral is "long non-coding RNA (BNAP_LNC006442)". The record is from RNAcentral. Lineage: Eukaryota; Viridiplantae; Streptophyta; Magnoliopsida; Brassicales; Brassicaceae.
UUGAAUGAAUGAGUCAGAAACGGUGAAAUUUUAGAGAUUUGGAACGAUAAUGGAGAAGUGCAAAAGUCGGAGAACGAUUGCUUUCUUUUUUGGAGGAGAGAUGAACUGUAUCGGAAGAUUAUUAUAAGCCCAAAUAAAUAGGACCGAUAUGAUUAUGUUUGACUGCAGCAUGACGUGGCGGUAUACUACUUCCUGAUUGGCUGAUUUUUUGAUCUGACGUGGACACCCUCUUUGUUGAUCUUAUUCAACUUUUAGUAUUGUAUUGAUAU